Molecule: antisense RNA, 75 nt
Filed under: Streptomyces bingchenggensis BCW-1
Lineage: Bacteria; Bacillati; Actinomycetota; Actinomycetes; Kitasatosporales; Streptomycetaceae
Description: ASpks TB sRNA
Rfam family: ASpks TB sRNA
Source: Rfam by way of RNAcentral
CUUGAUCGACCCCAGCCACAGCGGACUGUCGGCGUCCCGGCCCUGGCCGUAGGUGGCGAGGAUCGCCUGUGCCUC